Molecule: ribosomal RNA, 334 nt
Filed under: bacterium 3A8
Lineage: Bacteria
Description: bacterial SSU rRNA
Rfam family: Bacterial small subunit ribosomal RNA
Source: RNAcentral
CGCAACGAGCGCAACCCUCAUCCCUAGUUGCCAUCAUUCAGUUGGGCACUCUAAGGAAACUGCCGGUGAUAAGCCGGAGGAAGGUGGGGAUGACGUCAAGUCCUCAUGGCCCUUACGCGCUGGGCUACACACGUGCUACAAUGGCAACUACAGUGGGCAGCAACCGUGCGAGCGGUAGCUAAUCUCCAAAAGUUGUCUCAGUUCGGAUUGUUCUCUGCAACUCGAGAGCAUGAAGGCGGAAUCGCUAGUAAUCGCGGAUCAGCAUGCCGCGGUGAAUACGUUCCCAGGCCUUGUACACACCGCCCGUCACACCAUGGUGAGUUGGUUUCACCCG